RNAcentral lists this ribosomal RNA (1485 nucleotides) under Triticum aestivum (bread wheat). RNAcentral's name for it is "partial small subunit ribosomal RNA". Lineage: Eukaryota; Viridiplantae; Streptophyta; Magnoliopsida; Poales; Poaceae. The record is from RNAcentral.
AUGUCCAUCGUCAAGCGUGCUUUGGGCUUCGGUGGCGGCUACGGCCAGAGCCAGAGCAAGCCCGUGAUAAGCUACCACACCCAGAACUCCGACUCCGUGACCACCGUCGUGACGGAGAUCAGCCACAUGAGCCUCAACGGUAAGCAGGCCGCGUACAACGGGAGCGACGUCGGAGGCUUCGACGCCCUCGUCUGUGACAACGCCGCGCAGAAGCACGGCGGCUACAGCGAGCAGAAGGCGUCGUCGUACCAGCAUGAGAGCGGCGCCGGAGGGUACAGCGCUCACCACCACGAAAGCUCCGUGCAGAAGCACGGUGGCUACGGCGGGCAGAAGACGUCGUCGUAUCAGCAUGGAGGCUACGACGCUGCCAGCCACGACAGCACCGGCGCAACGCAGAAGUAUGCCUACGGUGAGCAGAAGGCUUACCAGCAUUAUGGGGCUGAGGCCCACCAUGACAGCUCGGCGCAGAAGCAUGGCUAUGGCGAGCAGAAGGCGUACGGUGGUCACCACCAGGACAGCAAGGUCCAGAAGAGCGGCUACGGCGGCGAGCAUACGGCGUACCAGCAUGAAGGCAAUCUCAAGGGGUACACCGCUCUCCAUCAGGACAGCAAGGUCCAGAAGCACGGCUACGGCGGCGAGCAGAAGGCGUACGUCGACAGCACGGUCCAGAAGCACGGCUACAACGAGCACAAGGCGUACGAGCAUGGGAGCGCCGCCGCCGCCCUCCACCACGACAGCUACGGCGUCGUGAAGAAGCACGACUACGGAGGCGAGCAGUACCAGCAUGGCGCUGCAGCGGGAGGAUACGACGGCGUCCACCACGACAGCUCGGUGCAGAAGCACGGCUACGGGGAGAAGGCAUACCAGCACGGGAGCGACGCCGGAGGGUACGGCGGUGUCCACCACGGCAGCGCGACGCAGAAGCACGGCUACGGCGCUGGGCAAAAGGCUUACGCGCACGAUGCUGAUGCCGGAGGAUACGACGCUGCUUUCCACCACGGCGGCGCGAAGCAGACGAAGCACGGCUACGGCGGCCGGCAGAUGGCUUACCAGCACGGUGCCGACGCCGGAGGGUACGGAGGGUACACCAGUAACACCACUUUCUACCACGGCGGUGUGGCGCAGAACGCGUCGUACCAGCAAGGGUGCGCCACCGGCGUCGCCGGGUACGACACGCUCGUCCAGAAGCAGCACGGGGCCUCCGGCGGCCUGCAAAAUGCGUACCCGCAGCAAGGGUGCGGCGUCGGCGGCGUCGCAGGGUAUGAUGCUCUUACCCAACGCCGUGAGAGAGAGAAGCAGCGGUUCAACCACGGGUGUGAGAGUGACGAAGAGAGCGAGGAGGAGAGCGACUGCGAAGAGGAGGUGGUGGGCCUUGCGGCGCCCGGCGGCACGCAGUACUACGCGGCGUACGAGCGCCACCAGCAGCUCGGCGGCGGCGGCUAUGGCGGCGGGUGCGCACAGCCCAAGAAUCACAGCUACUACUGA